CCUACGGGAGGCAGUAGUGAGGAAUAUUGGUCAAUGGGCGAGAGCCUGAACCAGCCAAGUCGCGUGAGGGAGUACUGCCCUAUGGGUUGUAAACCUCUUUUGUCGGGGAGCAAAAGCCGGACGUGUCCGGCUGUGAGAGUACCCGAAGAAAAAGCAUCGGCUAACUCCGUGCCAGCAGCCGCGGUAAUACGGAGGAUGCGAGCGUUAUCCGGAUUUAUUGGGUUUAAAGGGUGCGCAGGCGGAUUUUUAAGUCAGCGGUAAAAUCGUGGGGCUCAACCCCAUCCAGCCGUUGAAACUGGGGAUCUAGAGUGUGCGAGAGGUAUGCGGAAGGCGUGGUGUAGCGGUGAAAUGCAUAGAUAUCACGCAGAACCCCGAUUGCGAAGGCAGCAUACCGGUGCACAACUGACGCUCAGGCACGAAAGCGUGGGUAUCGAACAGGAUUAGAUACCCCAGUAGUC
This 458-nucleotide ribosomal RNA is filed under the name uncultured bacterium. Its description in RNAcentral is "partial 16S ribosomal RNA". It matches the Rfam family "Bacterial small subunit ribosomal RNA", at positions 338 to 795 of the family's 1533-position model. The record is from RNAcentral.